RNAcentral lists this ribosomal RNA (250 nucleotides) under uncultured bacterium. RNAcentral's name for it is "partial 16S ribosomal RNA". It matches the Rfam family "Bacterial small subunit ribosomal RNA", at positions 524 to 773 of the family's 1533-position model. The record is from RNAcentral.
GACGAACCGUGCGAACGUUGUUCGGAAUCACUGGGCAUAAAGGGCGCGUAGGCGGCUUUUCAAGUCAGGGGUGAAAUCCGGCAGCUCAACUGUCGAAGUGCCCUUGAUACUGAUGAGCUCGAGGGAGGUAGGGGUAUGUGGAACUUCCGGUGGAGCGGUGAAAUGCGUUGAUAUCGGAAGGAACGCCGGUGGCGAAAGCGACGUACUGGACCUCUUCUGACGCUGAGGCGCGAAAGCUAGGGGAGCAAAC